RNAcentral lists this ribosomal RNA (501 nucleotides) under uncultured bacterium. Its description in RNAcentral is "partial 16S ribosomal RNA". It matches the Rfam family "Bacterial small subunit ribosomal RNA", at positions 30 to 523 of the family's 1533-position model. The record is from RNAcentral.
AUUGAACGCUGGCGGCAGGCUUAACACAUGCAAGUCGAGCGGGGGAAGGUAGCUUGCUACCGGACCUAGCGGCGGACGGGUGAGUAAUGCUUAGGAAUCUGCCUAUUAGUGGGGGACAACAUCUCGAAAGGGAUGCUAAUACCGCAUACGUCCUACGGGAGAAAGCAGGGGAUCUUCGGACCUUGCGCUAAUAGAUGAGCCUAAGUCGGAUUAGCUAGUUGGUGGGGUAAAGGCCUACCAAGGCGACGAUCUGUAGCGGGUCUGAGAGGAUGGUCCGCCACACUGGGACUGAGACACGGCCCAGACGCCUACGGGAGGCAGCAGUGGGGAAUAUUGGACAAUGGGGGGAACCCUGAUCCAGCCAUGCCGCGUGUGUGAAGAAGGCCUUAUGGUUGUAAAGCACUUUAAGCGAGGAGGAGGCUACUUUAGUUAAUACCUAGAGAUAGUGGACGUUACUCGCAGAAUAAGCACCGGCUAACUCUGUGCCAGCCGCCGCCGUAA